RNAcentral lists this ribosomal RNA (450 nucleotides) under uncultured bacterium. RNAcentral's name for it is "partial 16S ribosomal RNA". It matches the Rfam family "Bacterial small subunit ribosomal RNA", at positions 338 to 795 of the family's 1533-position model. The record is from RNAcentral.
CCUACGGGGGGCUGCAGUCGAGAAUCUUCGGCAAUGGGCGCAAGCCUGACCGAGCGACGCCGCGUGCGAGAUGAAGGCCUUCGGGUUGUAAAUCGCUGUCAGAGGGGAGGAAAUGCCGGUGGGUUCUCCCAUCGGUUUGACCUAUCCUCAGAGGAAGGACGGGCUAAGUUCGUGCCAGCAGCCGCGGUAAGACGAACCGUCCAAACGAUUGUCGGUAUCACUGGGCUUGAAGGGUCGGCAAGCGGGCCGUGAAAGCCCUCAGCUCAACUGAGGAAUUGCGCCCAAAACUGCCGGACUUGAGGGAGACAUAGGUGAGCGGAACUUAGGGUGGAGCGGUGAAAUGCGUUGAGAUCCUAAGGAACACCAGUAGCGAAAGCGGCUCACUGGGUCUCUUCUGACGCUGAUGCACGAAAGCUAGGGGAGCGAAGAGGAUUAGAUACCCUGGUAGUC